Long non-coding RNA from Callithrix jacchus (white-tufted-ear marmoset), 955 nucleotides. RefSeq lists it as uncharacterized. NCBI's taxonomy places the organism in Eukaryota, Metazoa, Chordata, Mammalia, Primates, Cebidae. The record is from RefSeq and is a predicted model, not a curated record.
GAAUGCAGCUGGAGACCAUUUUCCUAGGUGAAUUCAGAGCCGUUAUCCUAAGUGAAUUGAUGUAGUAACAGAAAAUCAAAUACUGCAUGUUCUCACAAGUGGCAGUGAAACAUUGGGUACUCAUGGACAUGAAGAUGACAACAAUAGAUACUGGGACUUCUGGAAGAGGGAACGAGUCUAUCAUUGAUGGGCAUUUCGGUUGUUGCCAUUCUUAUAUAAACCUGCCCGCACUUGAAUAGAAUACGUUCAGACAGCAAAGAAUGCCCAAUUAAUGAAGGAGUUGCUGCCUUACAGUUACAGAAGACUUGUAGAAGACCAUGUGAGUAAUCAACAGCCCACCUCCUGCCAGGCUUCUAGUGGUUUUACAAGCAAGCAAUGCCUUUCUCAAGGACCUGAGAGCCAUCUCUUUGAAAUGCAGUCAAUUCUCCUGUGAGAGAGCAAGAGCUAAAAAUUGAAAACUGCCAAUUAGCAAAGACAGAAUGACUCAUCACAUUACCAGCCUCUCUUAUUAUGUCCUCCAGUACUUUUCACUAGAUCACCCCGUGCUAAAAAAACUCCCCCUCCUUUUUAUCCACUGUGUUCAGUUCAAUAUCUCCUCUUUAUGCAAUAGUCUUAAAGUCCUUCUAACCUGUUUAUUUUGCCUGGUGCACAAUUUUCUUUGACAAUAAUAUCAUGUUUGGAAAUGACUUGAUGAAAUAACAUUUCUUUAAUGUCAUAGUUCUCAAAACAUGAAUACUUUAAUAAACUCAGCUUCAUAAAAUAUAAUUUCUGAAACUCAAAUAAAUGUAAAUAUUAUCGAUAUGUAAUAUGUAAUGACGUCAAUAGAUAUUGAGCACUCACUAUGAGCCAAAUCACAUUUUUAGUAUUAGAAAAAUGUGAAAAUAAAUAUGACACUGUCUCUGCCAUGUAUUAUUGCAUGUGUUAAAAAUGGAGUUAAACAAAUAUUCAAAAUUAU